Molecule: transfer RNA, 109 nt
Filed under: Ipomoea nil (Japanese morning glory)
Lineage: Eukaryota; Viridiplantae; Streptophyta; Magnoliopsida; Solanales; Convolvulaceae
Also listed under: 12 other names
Description: partial tRNA-Leu
Source: RNAcentral
ACGCUACGGACUUCUACAUGUCAAUACCGGCAACAAUGAAAUUUCUAGUAAGAGGAAAAUCCGUCGACUUUAAAAAUCGUGAGGGUUCAAGUCCCUCUAUCCCCAAAAG